GGAAUAUUGCGCAAUGGACGAAAGUCUGACGCAGCAACGCCGCGUGCAGGAUGACGGCCCUCCGGGUUGUAAACUGCUGUAGCAGGGGAAUAACGAUCCGCCUUUGGUGGAUGUGAAGGUACCCUGAAAGUAAGCUCCGGCUAACUACGUGCCAGCAGCCGCGGUAAUACGUAGGGAGCAAGCGUUGUCCGGAUUCACUGGGUGUAAAGGGUGCGCAGGCGGGUUGGUAAGUCAGAGGUGAAAUCUUACGGCUCAACCGUGAAAUUGCCUUUGAUACUGCUAACCUUGAGUUCGGGAGAGGUCGAUGGAAUUCCAGGUGUAGCGGUGGAAUGCGUAGAUAUCUGGAAGAACACCAGUAGCGAAGGCGGUCGACUGGCCCGUAACUGACGCUCAGGCACGAAAGCGUGGGGAGCAAACAGGAUUAGAAACCCCAGUAGUCC
RNAcentral lists this ribosomal RNA (440 nucleotides) under uncultured bacterium. RNAcentral describes it as "bacterial SSU rRNA". It matches the Rfam family "Bacterial small subunit ribosomal RNA", at positions 358 to 796 of the family's 1533-position model. The record is from RNAcentral.